Oryctolagus cuniculus (rabbit) is the source of this 105-nucleotide small nuclear RNA. The record is from Ensembl. NCBI's taxonomy places the organism in Eukaryota, Metazoa, Chordata, Mammalia, Lagomorpha, Leporidae.
GUGCUCGCUUCAGCAGCACAGAUACAAAAUUGGAACGAAACAGAGAAGAUCAGCAUGGCCCUGUGCAAGGAGGACAUGCAAAUUCAUGAAGCAUUCCAUAUUAAA